This 1373-nucleotide ribosomal RNA is filed under the name Staphylococcus saprophyticus. RNAcentral describes it as "bacterial SSU rRNA". It matches the Rfam family "Bacterial small subunit ribosomal RNA", at positions 90 to 1447 of the family's 1533-position model. Lineage: Bacteria; Bacillati; Bacillota; Bacilli; Caryophanales; Staphylococcaceae. The record is from RNAcentral.
CGUUAGCGGCGGACGGGUGAGUAACACGUGGGUAACCUACCUAUAAGACUGGGAUAACUUCGGGAAACCGGAGCUAAUACCGGAUAACAUUUGGAACCGCAUGGUUCUAAAGUGAAAGAUGGUUUUGCUAUCACUUAUAGAUGGACCCGCGCCGUAUUAGCUAGUUGGUAAGGUAACGGCUUACCAAGGCGACGAUACGUAGCCGACCUGAGAGGGUGAUCGGCCACACUGGAACUGAGACAGGUUCCAGACUAAUACGGGAGGCAGCAGUAGGGAAUCUUCCGCAAUGGGCGAAAGCCUGACGGAGCAACGCCGCGUGAGUGAUGAAGGGUUUCGGCUCGUAAAACUCUGUUAUUAGGGAAGAACAAACGUGUAAGUAACUGUGCACGUCUUGACGGUACCUAAUCAGAAAGCCACGGCUAACUACGUGCCAGCAGCCGCGGUAAUACGUAGGUGGCAAGCGUUAUCCGGAAUUAUUGGGCGUAAAGCGCGCGUAGGCGGUUUCUUAAGUCUGAUGUGAAAGCCCACGGCUCAACCGUGGAGGGUCAUUGGAAACUGGGAAACUUGAGUGCAGAAGAGGAAAGUGGAAUUCCAUGUGUAGCGGUGAAAUGCGCAGAGAUAUGGAGGAACACCAGUGGCGAAGGCGACUUUCUGGUCUGUAACUGACGCUGAUGUGCGAAAGCGUGGGGAUCAAACAGGAUUAGAUACCCUGGUAGUCCACGCCGUAAACGAUGAGUGCUAAGUGUUAGGGGGUUUCCGCCCCUUAGUGCUGCAGCUAACGCAUUAAGCACUCCGCCUGGGGAGUACGACCGCAAGGUUGAAACUCAAAGGAAUUGACGGGGACCCGCACAAGCGGUGGAGCAUGUGGUUUAAUUCGAAGCAACGCGAAGAACCUUACCAAAUCUUGACAUCCUUUGAAAACUCUAGAGAUAGAGCCUUCCCCUUCGGGGGACAAAGUGACAGGUGGUGCAUGGUUGUCGUCAGCUCGUGUCGUGAGAUGUUGGGUUAAGUCCCGCAACGAGCGCAACCCUUAAGCUUAGUUGCCAUCAUUAAGUUGGGCACUCUAGGUUGACUGCCGGUGACAAACCGGAGGAAGGUGGGGAUGACGUCAAAUCAUCAUGCCCCUUAUGAUUUGGGCUACACACGUGCUACAAUGGACAAUACAAAGGGCAGCUAAACCGCGAGGUCAUGCAAAUCCCAUAAAGUUGUUCUCAGUUCGGAUUGUAGUCUGCAACUCGACUACAUGAAGCUGGAAUCGCUAGUAAUCGUAGAUCAGCAUGCUACGGUGAAUACGUUCCCGGGUCUUGUACACACCGCCCGUCACACCACGAGAGUUUGUAACACCCGGAAAGCCGGUGGGAGUAAACCAUUUA